GAUGAACGCUAGCGGCAGGCUUAAUACAUGCAAGUUGAGGGGCAGCAUGAUAUACGCGAGUAUAUUGAUGGCGACCGGCGGACGGGUGAGUAAUAGGUAGGAGACCUACCUCAUACAGGGGGAUAGCAUAGAGAAAUCUGUGGUAAUACCCCAUGAGGUUAUAUGAAUAGAGGCAUAUAAUCAAAGCAUAAGCGAUUAUGCGGUAUGAGAGGGGCCUACUGACCAUUAGCUAGUUGGUGAGGUAAGGGCUCACCAAGGCGAAGAUGGUUAGGGGUUUUGAGAGAGAGACCCCCCACAUUGGAACUGAGAGACGGUCCAGACUCCUACGGGAGGCAGCAGUAGGGAAUAUUGGGCAAUGGGCGAAAGCCUGACCCAGCCAUGCCGCGUGAAGGAAGACGGCCUUAUGGGUUGUAAACUUCUUUACUACGCGAAUAGAGGUUAGUACGAGGUACUAAUAGGAAGGUAGUGUAGUAAAAAGCACCGGCUAACUCCGUGCC
RNAcentral lists this ribosomal RNA (497 nucleotides) under uncultured bacterium. RNAcentral describes it as "bacterial SSU rRNA". It matches the Rfam family "Bacterial small subunit ribosomal RNA", at positions 28 to 509 of the family's 1533-position model. The record is from RNAcentral.